GAAUUGACCUUAGAAGUUUGC
This 21-nucleotide non-coding RNA is filed under the name Arabidopsis thaliana (thale cress). The record is from RNAcentral. Lineage: Eukaryota; Viridiplantae; Streptophyta; Magnoliopsida; Brassicales; Brassicaceae.